ACUGCGCGCGCUCCAGCGCCCCAGAAGGCAGGGGGCAGCCCGGGGACCGGGGUCCCGGAGCCCCGUGGGAGGCGGGCAACACCUGUCGGGACCCGAGGGCGUGUCUGAGAUUGUGGCCUGAGGUGCUGCGCCUUCCGAUCCGGGGCAGCGGGCGUCCUGUAGCUGCGCCUUCCGAAUCCAGCCCAGAUUCUCCUACCAGCUGCUUGGGUCACGUCGGUGGAACUCCUAAAGGGAUGCCUUCAAAAUGUGUGAAUAAGCUUCAAUCAGACUGCCCUUCCCAAAGAAAAUAACUAUAAAUGCUGGAAAAACUACAAAACAGCCACCUGAAGGCACUGGCGAGAGACAAAAGCAAGCAAAUUCUGGAGAAGAGUCAACACUUGGAAGAAGGGAGCUGCACUGGGUACAUGGGGAAGGAACAGUGUCUCUGCAUGAGAAUGGCCAAAGAACAAGAUACAUUUCCCCGUGGAGAGCAAUCCUAGAGAGAGGGAAGCAUGGGUCAGAAUAAGGUGUACUGGCCCCAGGGUAAUAGCAUGUAUUUCUGUUGCAUUGGUGUUUCCAAAAUAAUGCUUCGGUUCCAAGUUUCAGGAAUUGGUUGGGGGAGCAUGGGGAUCAUACAGUGAUUCAGGAGCUUCCUUGCAAGUAAGUGAGUGAGCCAAUCAAAUAAUUUAUGUUUAAAUCUUUCACUGUGUUAAAUGUUGAAAAAUAAAGCAAGUGAAUUCCA
RNAcentral lists this long non-coding RNA (721 nucleotides) under Homo sapiens (human). Its description in RNAcentral is "non-protein coding DPP10-AS1:9". Lineage: Eukaryota; Metazoa; Chordata; Mammalia; Primates; Hominidae. The record is from RNAcentral.